Molecule: ribosomal RNA, 1997 nt
Filed under: Salmonella enterica subsp. enterica serovar Enteritidis
Lineage: Bacteria; Pseudomonadati; Pseudomonadota; Gammaproteobacteria; Enterobacterales; Enterobacteriaceae
Description: partial 23S ribosomal RNA
Rfam family: Bacterial large subunit ribosomal RNA
Source: RNAcentral
AGGCCAAUCAAACCGGGAGAUAGCUGGUUCUCCCCGAAAGCUAUUUAGGUAGCGCCUCGUGAAUUCAUCUCCGGGGGUAGAGCACUGUUUCGGCUAGGGGGCCAUCCCGGCUUACCAACCCGAUGCAAACUGCGAAUACCGGAGAAUGUUAUCACGGGAGACACACGGCGGGUGCUAACGUCCGUCGUGAAGAGGGAAACAACCCAGACCGCCAGCUAAGGUCCCAAAGUCAUGGUUAAGUGGGAAACGAUGUGGGAAGGCCCAGACAGCCAGGAUGUUGGCUUAGAAGCAGCCAUCAUUUAAAGAAAGCGUAAUAGCUCACUGGUCGAGUCGGCCUGCGCGGAAGAUGUAACGGGGCUAAACCAUGCACCGAAGCUGCGGCAGCGACGCUUAUGCGUUGUUGGGUAGGGGAGCGUUCUGUAAGCCUGCGAAGGUGGCCUGUGAGGGUUGCUGGAGGUAUCAGAAGUGCGAAUGCUGACAUAAGUAACGAUAAAGCGGGUGAAAAGCCCGCUCGCCGGAAGACCAAGGGUUCCUGUCCAACGUUAAUCGGGGCAGGGUGAGUCGACCCCUAAGGCGAGGCCGAAAGGCGUAGUCGAUGGGAAACGGGUUAAUAUUCCCGUACUUGGUGUUACUGCGAAGGGGGGACGGAGAAGGCUAUGUUGGCCGGGCGACGGUUGUCCCGGUUUAAGCGUGUAGGUGUGUGUUCCAGGUAAAUCCGGUUCACUUUAACACUGAGGCGUGACGACGAGGCACUACGGUGCUGAAGCAACAAAUGCCCUGCUUCCAGGAAAAGCCUCUAAGCAUCAGGUAACAUCAAAUCGUACCCCAAACCGACACAGGUGGUCAGGUAGAGAAUACCAAGGCGCUUGAGAGAACUCGGGUGAAGGAACUAGGCAAAAUGGUGCCGUAACUUCGGGAGAAGGCACGCUGACACGUAGGUGAAGUGAUUUACUCAUGGAGCUGAAGUCAGUCGAAGAUACCAGCUGGCUGCAACUGUUUAUUAAAAACACAGCACUGUGCAAACACGAAAGUGGACGUAUACGGUGUGACGCCUGCCCGGUGCCGGAAGGUUAAUUGAUGGGGUCAGCGCAAGCGAAGCUCCUGAUCGAAGCCCCGGUAAACGGCGGCCGUAACUAUAACGGUCCUAAGGUAGCGAAAUUCCUUGUCGGGUAAGUUCCGACCUGCACGAAUGGCGUAAUGAUGGCCAGGCUGUCUCCACCCGAGACUCAGUGAAAUUGAACUCGCUGUGAAGAUGCAGUGUACCCGCGGCAAGACGGAAAGACCCCGUGAACCUUUACUAUAGCUUGACACUGAACAUUGAGCCUUGAUGUGUAGGAUAGGUGGGAGGCUUUGAAGUGUGGACGCCAGUCUGCAUGGAGCCGACCUUGAAAUACCACCCUUUAAUGUUUGAUGUUCUAACGUGGACCCGUUACCCGGGUUGCGGACAGUGUCUGGUGGGUAGUUUGACUGGGGCGGUCUCCUCCUAAAGAGUAACGGAGGAGCACGAAGGUUGGCUAAUCCUGGUCGGACAUCAGGAGGUUAGUGCAAUGGCAUAAGCCAGCUUGACUGCGAGCGUGACGGCGCGAGCAGGUGCGAAAGCAGGUCAUAGUGAUCCGGUGGUUCUGAAUGGAAGGGCCAUCGCUCAACGGAUAAAAGGUACUCCGGGGAUAACAGGCUGAUACCGCCCAAGAGUUCAUAUCGACGGCGGUGUUUGGCACCUCGAUGUCGGCUCAUCACAUCCUGGGGCUGAAGUAGGUCCCAAGGGUAUGGCUGUUCGCCAUUUAAAGUGGUACGCGAGCUGGGUUUAGAACGUCGUGAGACAGUUCGGUCCCUAUCUGCCGUGGGCGCUGGAGAACUGAGGGGGGCUGCUCCUAGUACGAGAGGACCGGAGUGGACGCAUCACUGGUGUUCGGGUUGUCAUGCCAAUGGCACUGCCCGGUAGCUAAAUGCGGAAGAGAUAAGUGCUGAAAGCAUCUAAGCACGAAACUUGCCCCGAG